Molecule: long non-coding RNA, 2829 nt
Filed under: Olea europaea subsp. europaea
Lineage: Eukaryota; Viridiplantae; Streptophyta; Magnoliopsida; Lamiales; Oleaceae
Source: RNAcentral
UCGUAAACUGGAUUCGUACUUAAACUUGUUGGUGGAAAAAUUCAACCAAAGAACAUAGAAAUCUGCCAACAAAACUGAACCUGGAUCGCAGCUGACCUACAUUGCACUUGCUGAACUCACUGGAAACUUUAACAAAUUCGAGACAGUCCCAAUUAUUAAGGCUAAAAUCGAACAUCACCAAAGAGGAGCACCAAGAAACUCGGCAAAACUUUGCAUGAAACUGCUUGAACAAUGCAUAUGACCUCUUACCGUUUUCAAAUCUUCCAAAAGGCUGGAAAACUUACUACUUUCAAGGAAAUUGCCACACUAACCUGGCCGGUUUUCAACCUUCAAGAAAAGUUGAAAUUCUUCGAAGAUAACACUUUGAAUUUUUUAAUGAACCCGCCUAGCUACAUUCGCCGAAAUUUGAACGAGAACUUGAAAUCUUCAGAUACAAAUUUUUAAAAUCUGGACAGAUUUUUCAAAAUCUGUAUUGCUGGAUUCGAGCUUACAAAUAUAUGAAAGUAAGAUCGAACAAGGAUCUAUGAGCUCACAAAUGUAAAUGGCAACUUUAAUGGGAGUGUUUCUCUCACUAAAGUUGAAAGCUUCUCUUUCUAACAUUUUACAUGUUGUGGACUAAGAGCUUUUUGCUACUCGGUGAGUUAAAUCUUAUUAUGAAAACCAUUGGCUUUGAUGAUAACUGGUUUAUAAAAGCUGCGAGAUUAGAUGAUCCUUGGCCUUCUCAACUAGUUCUCGUUAUCUGUAGUUUGCACUACACCACAUCUGCAAAACAAUCUAUUAGAUUUAUUGAAUGAAAAACAAUGUAUUAAACUCCAUAAGGAGAAGAACAAAACACUCCAUUAAAGGAGGAAUUACACUCCAUGAUAGGCGGAACAAACAACUCCAAAAUAGGAGGAUGAUAACAUUCCAUAAUAGGAGGAAUAGAAAGACACUCCACAAAGGAGGAAAGACACUCCAUAUAGGAGGAAGAAACCUCCGUGGAAGGAGGGAUUGGAGACUACAAUCCAAUGAAUUAAAAUGUGUACAAACUCUAGUAUUUAUAGAAAAAAUAACUAGCUAACUAGGAAGUCUCUAGAAUCUGGAAAUUCUGGAAUAAGAAGUAAUCUACCGGACAUGGACUUGGUUGAGCUGGAAGUGAAUAUCCUGUUAAGCUGGAAUAUUCUGCUGAUGUGGAUUUUAUAUUCCAACACACCCCCCUCAAGAUGGACUAGGAGAUCCAUCUUGAAGAUUAAUGAGUGAAACAUGGAUGCAAAUACACUGCUCUUUUGCUUUCUGACAUGGCAGUUCGAGGAAUCAAGCCCAACACAAUCACAUACAAUACUCUCAUCGAUGUUUAUGGAAAAUCAAAGAGGUUACAGAGAUGGAAUCAACUCUUGUACAAAUGCUUUGGUUGCAAGAAUGUGAACCGAAUGCAUGGACCAUGAACUCCACCUUGUGAGCUUUUGCUGGCAGGCUGGCAGCAGGCGAAGGGAUAUAAUGGAAAAGUGCUAUGAGAAAUUUCAGAGUGCUGGGAUUGAAUUGAACAUAAAAAAUUGAGCUCAAUGGGAAUCCAUUCCUUCUUCAAUUGACUAGUGGGAAACUGUCUGCAGAGGAGCUUUGUUAGACAUUUUUCCAAACACCUUGUAUGCACAUCAGAACUUUGAAUUUUCUUUGAUCAUAUACGAGUUGAAUCUCCAUGAUACAGUAACAUAUUCCAGUAUAAUCUUCAAUGACAAGCAUGGAACCUGCUAAACUGAGUAUUCCUCUUCGGUCUCCACUGUGAACGCAUCGAAUUUGCAACUUCGAAUGUUGGUAAACCGAGCUUAAAAGUUGCAGAAGAGGAUGAUUCUAAAUCCGAAAAUGACAUCUAAUUGAACUUUUAUCUCAGCAAUGGAGGUGAAAUUGGAUUAUAUUCAAAUUUGCUUGAGAAAUCACAUUGUCAAUCGGAACUCUGGGAGAAUGCAGCCACCAAGAGUUCAAUGCGUCACACAUAUUUUACCAAAUGAUGGCAGAGAACAGAAUAAUUCCAGCAAAAGUAUUUCAACUUCAGUUAUCAUCUGGAGAUUGGAAGGAUCUGCCAUCACCGACUGAAAUCCAUUGUCCAAUUCUGUCAUUUUCAGGCCUAGACUUCUAGCUAUACAAUUUGAUGCAAAAUUCCACACGGUAGACAACAUCAGUAUUGAUUAAUUGGGGCCAGAUCUGAGUGACGUGUGGAAAAAUAAAGCGGCAGUAGAAAAUUAGAAAAAACUAAAAUAUGAACUUAUUUCUGAUGAAGGAACUAAAAUUUGCUGGAAAUGAAACUUCCAGAAUUAUUCCAAGAUAGAAGAAAAUUAGAUCUGCUUCAUUGAGCAGAACACAUGAAAUGGAGAUGAAUUAAGUCCAGAAAAAAUAGCAGCAGGAAGCAAAUGUUUUGCUCUGAUACCAUAUUAGAUUUAUUGAAUGAAAAACAAUGUAGUAAACUCCAUAAGGAGAAGAACAAAACAUUCCAUUAAAGGAUGAAUUACACUCCAUGAUAGGAGGAACAAACAACUCCAAAAUAGGAGGAUGAUAACAUUUCAUAAUAGGAGGAAGAGAAAGACACUCUACAAAGGAGGAAAGACACUCCAUAUUGGAGGAAGAAACCUCCAUGGAAGGAGGGAUUGGAGACUACAAUCCAAUGAAUUAAAAUGUGUACAAACUCUAGUAUUUAUAGAGAAAAUAACUAGCUAACUAGGAAGUCUCUAGAAUCUGGAAAUUCUGGAAUAAGAAGUAAUCUGCCGGACAUGGACUUGGUUGAGCUGGAAGUGAAUAUCCUGUUAAGCUGGAAUAUUCUGCUGAUGUGGAUUUUAUAUUCCAACACAAAGAGUAGAC